CCUAACACAUGCAAGUCGAGCGGUAGCACAGGAGAGCUUGCUCUCUGGGUGACGAGCGGCGGACGGGUGAGUAAUGUCUGGGAAACUGCCCGAUGGAGGGGGAUAACUACUGGAAACGGUAGCUAAUACCGCAUAACGUCUUCGGACCAAAGAGGGGGACCUUCGGGCCUCUUGCCAUCGGAUGUGCCCAGAUGGGAUUAGCUAGUAGGUGGGGUAAUGGCUCACCUAGGCGACGAUCCCUAGCUGGUCUGAGAGGAUGACCAGCCACACUGGAACUGAGACACGGUCCAGACUCCUACGGGAGGCAGCAGUGGGGAAUAUUGCACAAUGGGCGCAAGCCUGAUGCAGCCAUGCCGCGUGUAUGAAGAAGGCCUUCGGGUUGUAAAGUACUUUCAGCGAGGAGGAAGGCGUUGUGGUUAAUAACCGCAGCGAUUGACGUUACUCGCAGAAGAAGCACCGGCUAACUCCGUGCCAGCAGCCGCGGUAAUACGGAGGGUGCAAGCGUUAAUCGGAAUUACUGGGCGUAAAGCGCACGCAGGCGGUCUGUCAAGUCGGAUGUGAAAUCCCCGGGCUCAACCUGGGAACUGCAUUCGAAACUGGCAGGCUAGAGUCUUGUAGAGGGGGGUAGAAUUCCAGGUGUAGCGGUGAAAUGCGUAGAGAUCUGGAGGAAUACCGGUGGCGAAGGCGGCCCCCUGGACA
RNAcentral lists this ribosomal RNA (699 nucleotides) under Enterobacter sp. Its description in RNAcentral is "bacterial SSU rRNA". It matches the Rfam family "Bacterial small subunit ribosomal RNA", at positions 47 to 735 of the family's 1533-position model. Lineage: Bacteria; Pseudomonadati; Pseudomonadota; Gammaproteobacteria; Enterobacterales; Enterobacteriaceae. The record is from RNAcentral.